This 322-nucleotide ribosomal RNA is filed under the name uncultured eukaryote. RNAcentral describes it as "partial 18S ribosomal RNA". It matches the Rfam family "Eukaryotic small subunit ribosomal RNA", at positions 1470 to 1796 of the family's 1831-position model. The record is from RNAcentral.
CCCUUAGAUGUUCUGGGCCGCACGCGUGCUACACUGAGUGGAUCAGCGGGUCAGGUUGCGCGAAAGUGUUUCCUAAUCUUGAAAUCCGCUCGUGAUGGGGAUUGACGGUUGCAAUUUUCCGUCAUGAACGAGGAAUACCUUGUAAGCGCGGGUCAUCAUCCCGCGCUGAAUACGUCCCUGCCCUUUGUACACACCGCCCGUCGCUCCUACCGAUUGAGUGGUCCGGUGAGGCUUUGGGAUCUGAGCGGAAAGAGCGUUUCGCUGUUUCUGCUCGGAAAACUCAGUCGAACCUUAUCAUUUAGAGGAAGGCGAAGUCGUAACA